GGCUUCAACGGGUAACGGGGUAUCAGGGUCCGAUACCGGAGAGGGAGCCUGAGAAACGGCUACCACAUCCAAGGAAGGCAGCAGGCGCGCAAAUUACCCACUCCCAGCACGGGGAGGUAGUGACGAAAAAUAACGAUGCGAGGGCAUAUUGCUUCUCGUAAUCGGAAUGGGUACACUUUAAAUCCUUUAACGAGGAUCUAUUGGAGGGCAAGUCUGGUGCCAGCAGCCGCGGUAAUUCCAGCUCCAAUAGCGUAUAUUAAAGUUGCUGCGGUUAAAAAGCUCGUAGUUGGAUCUGGGCAGCUGGAUGUGCGGUGCGCUUUACAGCGUUACUGCUCGUUUGGCGCCACAAGCCGGCCAUGUCUUGCAUGCUCUUCACUGCGUGUGCUUGGCGACCGGAACGUUUACUUUGAAAAAAUUAGAGUGCUCAAAGCAGGCGUAUGGCCUUGCAUAAUGGUGCAUGGAAUAAUGGAAUAGGACCUCGGUUCUAUUUUGUUGGUUAUCGGAGCUCGAGGUAAUGAUUAAGAGGAAMAGACGGGGGCAUUCGUAUUGCGGCGUUAGAGGUGAAAUUCUUGGAUCGUCGCAAGACGAACUACUGCGAAAGCAUUUGCCAAGAAUGUUUUCAUUAAUCAAG
This 631-nucleotide ribosomal RNA is filed under the name Macrobiotus sp. PC-2013. Its description in RNAcentral is "SSU rRNA". It matches the Rfam family "Eukaryotic small subunit ribosomal RNA", at positions 350 to 992 of the family's 1831-position model. Lineage: Eukaryota; Metazoa; Tardigrada; Eutardigrada; Parachela; Macrobiotidae. The record is from RNAcentral.